CCUACGGGCGGCAGCAGUGAGGAAUAUUGGUCAAUGGACGAGAGUCUGAACCAGCCAAGUAGCGUGAAGGAUGACUGCCCUAUGGGUUGUAAACUUCUUUUAUAUGGGAGUAAAAUGUUCCACGUGUGGGAUUUUGUAUGUACCAUAUGAAUAAGGAUCGGCUAACUCCGUGCCAGCAGCCGCGGUAAUACGGAGGAUCCGAGCGUUAUCCGGAUUUAUUGGGUUUAAAGGGAGCGUAGGUGGAUUGUUAAGUCAGUUGUGAAAGUUUGCGGCUCAACCGUAAAAUUGCAGUUGAAACUGGCAGUCUUGAGUACAGUAGAGGUGGGCGGAAUUCGUGGUGUAGCGGUGAAAUGCUUAGAUAUCACGAAGAACUCCGAUUGCGAAGGCAGUUCACUGGACUGCAACUGACACUGAGGCUCGAAAGUGUGGGUAUCAAACAGGAUUAGAUACCCGUGUAGUC
Molecule: ribosomal RNA, 460 nt
Filed under: uncultured bacterium
Lineage: Bacteria
Description: partial 16S ribosomal RNA
Rfam family: Bacterial small subunit ribosomal RNA
Source: RNAcentral